RNAcentral lists this long non-coding RNA (521 nucleotides) under Lathyrus oleraceus (garden pea). RNAcentral's name for it is "Pisum sativum (pea) long non-coding RNA (PSAT_LNC008218)". The record is from RNAcentral. Lineage: Eukaryota; Viridiplantae; Streptophyta; Magnoliopsida; Fabales; Fabaceae.
UCAUACCUCUAAGUUCAAAGCUCAUGCUCGUGGUUCUGAUGUUAAUCUUAACCAGUGCGUCCAAUCAUAAACAACAGUAUCUACAGUCAGGGGACUGAAAGAGAGGACGCCCAAGUAGUUGGUGUAAGUGAUCAAGAAAACCAAUAGCCAGACAUAGUCACGUAUCUAAUGAAAUAAACAGGAAAAUGGAGGUAAACCAAAUCAAAUUCAUUAGAUUAAGCCAACCCAUAAUAGGUGGUUACAUCAAAGCAACAGAAAUUAAAAACUGAAUAAAUAAAAAAAAACAAAAAUUACACAAAGAAAUUUCAAACCUCCCUUGGGUUUCCUCCCAAGCAGCGCUUCGUUUAACGUCGCAUGGCUCGACGGGACACCUCAUACACAGAUGAGUUUAACGGUUUCAAUUGGUCCCCCUUAACCGGGAUUAUAUGGUUUCAACCUCUGACCAUUAACCUUGAAGGUGUCGCCAUUCUUCUCAUUUAAAACACCAAUACCACUUUUAUGUUUCUUCAGUACCUCUUCAU